UGCUAAUACCGGAUAACAACAGAUGAUGCCUAUCAACUGUUCAAAAGAAUGGUUCUGCUAUCACUCUUGGAUGGACCUGCGGUGCAUUAGCUAGUUGGUAGGGUAACGGCCUACCAAGGCGAUGAUGCAUAGCCGAGUUGAGAGACUGAUCGGCCACAUUGGGACUGAGACACGGCCCAAACUCCUACGGGAGGCAGCAGCG
Molecule: ribosomal RNA, 202 nt
Filed under: uncultured Lactobacillus sp.
Lineage: Bacteria; Bacillati; Bacillota; Bacilli; Lactobacillales; Lactobacillaceae
Description: partial 16S ribosomal RNA
Rfam family: Bacterial small subunit ribosomal RNA
Source: RNAcentral